Molecule: ribosomal RNA, 493 nt
Filed under: uncultured bacterium
Lineage: Bacteria
Description: bacterial SSU rRNA
Rfam family: Bacterial small subunit ribosomal RNA
Source: RNAcentral
UGCAAGUCGAACGGUCUUUUCUAUGGAAGCUUGCUUCCACUGAGAAGAUAGUGGCGAACGGGUGAGUAACAACGUGGGUAACCUGCCCAUAAGAGGGGGAUAACAUCCGGAAACGGGUGCUGAUACCGCAUAGUUUUCUUGAUCGCAUGAUUGAGAAAGGAAAGACGGCCUUUGUGCUGUCGCUUAUGGAUGGACCCGCGGCGUAUUAGUUAGUUGGUGAGGUAACGGCUCACCAAGACGAUGAUACGUAGCCGACCUGAGAGGGUGAUCGGCCACAUUGGGACUGAGACACGGCCCAAACUCCUACGGGAGGCAGCAGUAGGGAAUCUUCCGCAAUGGACGAAAGUCUGACGGAGCAACGCCGCGUGAGUGAAGAAAAGGGUUUUCGGAUCGUAAAACUCUGUUGUCAGAGAAGAACAAGUUGGAGAGUAACUGCUCCAGCCUUGACGGUAUCUGACCAGAAAGCCACGGCUAACUACGUGCCAGCAGCGGC